GCCUCAUUAGCUCAGGGGUAGAGCAGUAGUCUCGUAAACUGAAGGUCGUUUGGCAUGAGGCU
This 62-nucleotide transfer RNA is filed under the name Paramuricea clavata. It matches the Rfam family "tRNA". Rfam says of the family: Transfer RNA (tRNA) molecules are approximately 80 nucleotides in length. Their secondary structure includes four short double-helical elements and three loops (D, anti-codon, and T loops). Lineage: Eukaryota; Metazoa; Cnidaria; Anthozoa; Malacalcyonacea; Plexauridae. The record is from Rfam by way of RNAcentral.